Long non-coding RNA from Perognathus longimembris pacificus (Pacific pocket mouse), 164 nucleotides. RefSeq lists it as uncharacterized. The record is from RefSeq and is a predicted model, not a curated record. The transcript has 3 exons. Lineage: Eukaryota; Metazoa; Chordata; Mammalia; Rodentia; Heteromyidae.
GGAUAAAGAACAUGUUAUUCAAAGAUCUCUUAUUAGUAACUUAAAUUCUAUGUCCUUACAUAAUGCUCAUAUUUUGUGUAAUAGCUUUUGCUGUCUGGACACUUAUUUCUUGUGGAAUCAAGAGGUUAUUUAACUUUUUUUUUUUUUUUUGGCCAGUCCUGGGC